This 757-nucleotide long non-coding RNA is filed under the name Malus domestica (apple). Its description in RNAcentral is "long non-coding RNA (MDOM_LNC001654)". The record is from RNAcentral. Lineage: Eukaryota; Viridiplantae; Streptophyta; Magnoliopsida; Rosales; Rosaceae.
AUUUGUAUACCUUGCACUGAAGCUUUGUAGGUGAAGCUUUGCAAGUGAAGCUUUGAAGCUGGAGUUUUGUAAAUGAAGCUUUUGAAGCUAGAGCUCUGUAAAUGAAGCUUUUGAAGCUGAUUGACAUGAGUGAUGCUCAUGAAUGUUUAUGUUGAUUGACAUGAGUAAUGCUCAUGGAUGUUGUCAUGAGUGAUGUUCAUGAAUGUUAACAUGAGUGGUGCUCAUGAAUGUUGACAUGAAUGAUGGUCAUGAAUGUUUAUGUAUGAUUGUCAUGAGCGAUGCUCAUGAAUGUUUAUGUAUGAAUGACAUGAGUAUUGCUCAUGUAUAAUUUGGAGUACUGGGCGUACUUUUGAUCACCUAGUUGGUGGUAUGAAGUAGAGUACGGGUUGUACAUUUCCUCACCUGGUUGGUGGCAUGAAUGGCUAGUUGCCAAAUGAUAUUUUAGAGUACGGGUUGUACAUUUCAUCACCUGGUUGGUGGCAUGAAUGGCUAGUUGCCAAAUGAUAUUAGAGUAUGAGUUGUACAUUUCAUCACCUGGUUAGUGGUAAUAGCUGCAGGUUGCCGAAUAAUUUUGGAGUACUGGGCGUACUUUUGAUCACUUGGUUGGUGGUAAUAGCGGCAGGUUGUCGAAUAAUUUUGGAGUACUAGGCGAACUUUUGGUCACCUGGUUGGUGAUAAUAGAGGCAGAUUGCCGAAUAAUUUUGAAGUACUGGGCGUACUUUUGGUCACCUGGUUGAUGCUAUUUUGGGCUCAUGGG